GGGUCAGUAGGUUGGUCGUGCCACCGGUACGUACUGGUCUCACUGAUUCCUCCUUCCUGAAGAGCCGUAAUGCCAUUAAUUUGGUGUUGCGGGGAAACAGGACUGUUACUUUGAAAAAAUUAGAGUGUUUAAAGCAAGCUAACGCUUGAAUACAUUAGCAUGGAAUAAUGAAAUAGGACGAUCGAUCCUAUUUUGUUGGUUUCUAUGAUUGACGUA
This 216-nucleotide ribosomal RNA is filed under the name Glomeromycotina sp. RNAcentral describes it as "partial small subunit ribosomal RNA". The stretch from base 40 to 216 matches the Rfam family "Eukaryotic small subunit ribosomal RNA", at positions 686 to 864 of the family's 1831-position model. Lineage: Eukaryota; Fungi; Glomeromycota. The record is from RNAcentral.